AACGAACGCUGGCGGCGUGCCUAACACAUGCAAGUCGAACGGAGUCAUUUGGAAGUAGCAAUACGGAAGGAUGACUUAGUGGCGGACGGGUGAGUAACACGUAGGUAACCAACCCUCGAGCGGGGGACAACCCAGGGAAACUUGGGCUAAUACCGCAUAAGACCACGGACUGGGAUGUUUGUGGUAAAAGUAGCAAUACACUUGAGGAUGGGCCUGCGGCCUAUCAGGUAGUUGGUAAGGUAAUGGCUUACCAAGCCUAAGACGGGUAGCCGGACUGAGAGGUUGAACGGCCACACUGGAACUGAGACACGGUCCAGACUCCUACGGUGGCAG
RNAcentral lists this ribosomal RNA (333 nucleotides) under uncultured Nitrospirota bacterium. RNAcentral describes it as "bacterial SSU rRNA". It matches the Rfam family "Bacterial small subunit ribosomal RNA", at positions 29 to 351 of the family's 1533-position model. The record is from RNAcentral. Lineage: Bacteria; Pseudomonadati; Nitrospirota.